RNAcentral lists this ribosomal RNA (472 nucleotides) under uncultured bacterium. RNAcentral describes it as "bacterial SSU rRNA". It matches the Rfam family "Bacterial small subunit ribosomal RNA", at positions 328 to 793 of the family's 1533-position model. The record is from RNAcentral.
GACGACGACUCCUACGGGAGGCAGCAGUGGGGAAUAUUGCACAAUGGGCGCAAGCCUGAUGCAGCCAUGCCGCGUGUAUGAAGAAGGCCUUCGGGUUGUAAAGUACUUUCAGCAGUGAGGAAGGUGGGUAUGUUAAUAGCAUAUUCAUUUGACGUUAGCUGCAGAAGAAGCACCGGCUAACUCCGUGCCAGCAGCCGCGGUAAUACGGAGGGUGCGAGCGUUAAUCGGAAUUACUGGGCGUAAAGCGCAUGCAGGUGGUUUGUUAAGUCAGAUGUGAAAGCCCGGGGCUCAACCUCGGAAUUGCAUUUGAAACUGGCAAACUAGAGUACUGUAGAGGGGGUAGAAUUUCAGGUGUAGCGGUGAAAUGCGUAGAGAUCUGAAGGAAUACCGGUGGCGAAGGCGGCCCCCUGGACAGAUACUGACACUCAGAUGCGAAAGCGUGGGGAGCAAACAGGAUUAGAUACCCUGGUAG